CGGGUGAGUAACACGUAUCCAAUCUGCCGUCUACUCUUGGACAGCCUUCUGAAAGGAAGAUUAAUACAAGAUGGCAUCAUGAGUUCACAUGUUCACAUGAUUAAAGGUAUUCCGGUAGACGAUGGGGAUGCGUUCCAUUAGAUAGUAGGCGGGGUAACGGCCCACCUAGUCUUCGAUGGAUAGGGGUUCUGAGAGGAAGGUCCCCCACAUUGGAACUGAGACACGGUCCAA
Molecule: ribosomal RNA, 231 nt
Filed under: uncultured bacterium
Lineage: Bacteria
Description: partial 16S ribosomal RNA
Rfam family: Bacterial small subunit ribosomal RNA
Source: RNAcentral